AUUGAACGCUGGCGGAAUGCUUUACACAUGCAAGUCGAGCGGCAGCGCGGCCUUCGGGCUGGCGGCGAGCGGCGAACGGGUGAGUAAUGCAUCGGAACAUGCCCAGUCGUGGGGGAUAACACUUCGAAAGAAGUGCUGAUACCGCAUACGUCCUGAGGGGGAAAGCGGGGGAUCGCAAGACCUCGCGCGAUUGGAGUGGCCGAUGUCAGAUUAGCUAGUUGGUGGGGUAAAGGCCUACCAAGGCGACGAUCUGUAGCUGGUCUGAGAGGAUGAUCAGCCACACUGGGACUGAGACACGGCCCAGACUCCUACGGGAGGCAGCAGUGGGGAAUUUUGGACAAUGGGGGCAACCCUGAUCCAGCCAGUCCGCGUGGGUGAAGAAGGCCUUCGGGUUGUAAAGCUCUUUCGGCAGGAACGAAACGGUGGGCUCUAACAUAGUCCGCUAAUGACGGUACCUGAAGAAGAAGCACCGGCUAACUACGU
Molecule: ribosomal RNA, 483 nt
Filed under: uncultured bacterium
Lineage: Bacteria
Description: partial 16S ribosomal RNA
Rfam family: Bacterial small subunit ribosomal RNA
Source: RNAcentral